GAGGAGGAGGCGGAGCCGGGCUGCGAAGGAGCGUUGGAGGCUGCGGCUCUGCCUGUCUCGCGCGGGGCCGUUGGAGCCUCUCCCGGGGCCGGAGAAGGAUAUUGGGGUUGAACUUCCUGGUUCAGACGCCGCUGCCUGCAUUGUGAUCUGGGAGACCAGACUGAGCAGCUGCUGCUCCCCCAGUGGGGUCUGGGCUUGGAAGUGACUUGGAGUGAAGCUUCCUCUGUGCCCAGGCAAGAAUGUGGUGAUAUCUAUCAGUAUGGGUAAGAGAUCAAGAGACAUUUUUAGAAAGUACUCAAGUGGGAGUAAGAAAAGAGCCAUAUACAAGGCAAAAGCAGUUGAAAGACAGAAACAAAAGGGUGCUUUUAGCAAGUAUUUUAGCAGACCUGAUUCUACUGUUGAACUGGAAGAGCUCAGUGAAUAUGCAGAUAUGGUUGAAAAUUAUCCAGUAGAACAUACAACACAGACAGAGAAUGACAGCAAUGAUGAAGAAUUUGAAAAGCCAGAUCAGUCUGAAGAAGACACUCAAGACAGUCACGGUGAAGAGAAGACUACAAAAAGGGUUGUAACUGAUGCUGAAGGUACUGAGGGUCAAGAAUGCUUUUCUGAUAAUAAAGAUGCAAGUGGUUUAGAUCCAGAGCAGAAAGGCAACUUCAACUCUGCUGACCAAAUAGAAAUAUCUGAAGAUCUUGGCCAGAAUACAUUAGCCAGCGUAUCGAGUAUUUAGUAAAACAAGGGCCGCCUAAAAUUAUUGUAGAAUAUUUCCCUAAAAAUAAGAUUGGGAAACACUUUGCAAAGUUUCACUGCAAAAGGAAACUUUCAAAUGGUGAAAUUGUAUCUCGUCCAUGGGUGAUAUACUCAGUGUGAGCCGACAAGAUCUUUUGUUAUUACUGUAUGAUUUUUUUGCAAUACUGUGACAAGUUCAUUAGCAUCUAAUGGUUUUAAUGACUGGUCUAAUAUUCAUAUGAGAUUGGCUGAGCGUGAAAACUCAAAAGGACAUUUACAAGCUGUGCUUAGUUGCUGCGACCUUCAGCAAAGGUUAUCUGCUGAAAAAAACAUUGACACAAUACAACCAAAACUUAUUGACCAAGAAGCAAAAUGCUGGCAUCAAGUUUUUGAGAGACUUGUCGCUGUCGUUCAGUUGCUAGCAGAACGAAACUUAUCAUUUCGUGCCAGCUGGGAACAUCAUACAAUGGAAAUUUUCUUGGAGUUAUUGAAUUACUGGGAAAGUUUGACCCAGUGAUGCAGGAACAUUUAUGAAGAAUCAAGAACAAAGAAAUACGUGACCAUUAUUUAGGAAAAAACAUUCUAAACGAACUUAUUAAUAUUGUAGGGAAUGCUGUUAAACAUGAAAUAAUAGCUCGAAUUAAGGCUGCUAAGUAUUUUGCUAUUAUACCCUACUGCACUUCUGACAUUAGUCACCAGGAACAAAUGCCACUGAUAAUUAGGUAUGUGGCUGAUGGUGUAUCACCAAAUAU
Long non-coding RNA from Gopherus flavomarginatus (Mexican gopher tortoise), 1478 nucleotides. RefSeq lists it as uncharacterized. The record is from RefSeq and is a predicted model, not a curated record. Lineage: Eukaryota; Metazoa; Chordata; Testudines; Testudinidae. The transcript has 3 exons.